This 1598-nucleotide long non-coding RNA is filed under the name Coturnix japonica (Japanese quail). RNAcentral's name for it is "lncRNA (ENSCJPG00005015792.1)". The record is from RNAcentral. Lineage: Eukaryota; Metazoa; Chordata; Aves; Galliformes; Phasianidae.
AACUGCUCAUCCCACUGCUGGGUUUUGGAAAAUGAGUCUAAACCACUAGAACAGUCACAUCCCAAAUGGAUGAAUUUAUCCCUGUAAUUGACUAUUGCAUUCCAGUCUCUCCUGGUUUUCUGACUCCCUUCCUAUCUAUUCCUGUCCAGGACUAGUCAAGCAACAUCCCAGUGAAGCACUGAGGCUCUCCAUGCUGGAUGAGAGGUGUGAGAGGAUCUCUGCUGUCUGCUGGAGGAGUGGCCAUCACAGAGACACCUUUUGCUUCAGGCUCAAAUUGUGCUGUGUCCUGUAUUCAAUCGGUUAUGCUGGCAACACCAAGUACACAUGAUGGUGAUGAGCUGGAAGGACGCACUGCAUGGAGCUAUGGCUUAAUGAGGUAUUUCAGGGCUGGAGCUGUGACUGAUUUCAGCAUGUCCACGUGGCAGCUGGUGUUGGGGGGAUGUGCAAGGGUGGCAAGGACACCCUAGGGUGCUAGUAUAGAUGCUGGGAGGGGAGGUGUGAGGUUAACUCGUUGUAUAGACGGGUAUGAACAGAGUAGAUCUGGGCAGAGAUUGAGGCUUAGAGAGGGAGGAAUGAUUUGCGAGGCAAGAUUCACCAGUGCCUCUCCUGGAAAAUAGCUUUUAUUUAACUUGAAAAACAUGCCAAUAACAGAAAGCAUAACUCAUUUCAUGAAAGUUAUGGUUGGCUGUAAAAUAGAAUACAGAAAAUUUUCCUACUCAAGCUGAAAUGUUUUUCUUUUAAUUCUUCGGUAUUCUCUCUGCAGCAUUAUAAACUCUAAUUCAUGCCUUGGCCUAGGCUCUGAGAUCUAGCUGUGCUCAGCUGAAUGAGGUCCACUUUCAGAACUUCAGAGAUCCUGUCACACACCUUCCAUAGCAUUAAAAAAUACCACAUGCCAGUUGGUUUUUUGCAUUUAUGAGACCUAUGGCUUUAGGGGAAAGGCAGAGAGGAGGACUGGAAGGUAAAUAGCAAACUAAAUGGGUUUUAACUGCUGCAUGUUGUUUUAAAUAUCCUUUUAAAAACUAAUAUUGUAAACUGAGAUGGGCUCCAAGUUCAGGGGAUUGCAUAUGCCAUUUAUUUUCUUUUCAGGUAGUUCUCUUAGACCAUAUAGUUCCGGCUGUGAUUUAACAUUGAGAGGUUAAAUGGAACCGUAUGUAAUUAGACAUCGGGCAACAUAACGAUGCAGAUUUCAAAACCGUCUCCUAUUUUCUGCUGGGAAAUGGCUUUAUGUGAACAUCCCUUACAGUUUUUGAGCUGCAGAAACUCCCCCAAACCAAUUUCCCCAUGGACUCCCAUGCUGUGAAGGACGUAUUGCUGGGGAUGAGCAGGGUGCUGGGGCAGGUUAGGUCCCACCCAAGCCUGGUUUGUGUACAGAGCCCCAUUCUUGCUUCCAAGUAUGCUUCCCAAGCUGAGAGAUGUAGAGAAGAAACAAGGAAAGUGUUGUUUUGUGAGAUCCGAACAGCACUGGGGCUUUUGACUUUGGACAUGUCAUGAUCUCAGAUUUUGUUUUCAUUCUGAAACAGCAUAAAACAAAUGCUUUGGAAAUUUUCAAGGAGCAAAAUUAAAAUAAACGCCAGUUAUGUUUUCUUUUUGGUGUUCUG